This 497-nucleotide ribosomal RNA is filed under the name uncultured bacterium. RNAcentral's name for it is "partial 16S ribosomal RNA". It matches the Rfam family "Bacterial small subunit ribosomal RNA", at positions 28 to 507 of the family's 1533-position model. The record is from RNAcentral.
GAUGAACGCUGGCGGCGUGCCUAAUACAUGCAAGUCGAGCGAACAGACGAGGAGCUUGCUCCUCUGACGUUAGCGGCGGACGGGUGAGUAACACGUGGAUAACCUACCUAUAAGACUGGGAUAACUUCGGGAAACCGGAGCUAAUACCGGAUAAUAUAUUGAACCGCAUGGUUCAAUAGUGAAAGACGGUUUUGCUGUCACUUAUAGAUGGAUCCGCGCCGCAUUAGCUAGUUGGUAAGGUAACGGCUUACCAAGGCGACGAUGCGUAGCCGACCUGAGAGGGGGGACGGCCAAACUGGAACUGGAGCACGGUCCAGACUCCUAAGGGAAGCAGCAGGAGGGAAUCUUCCGCAAUGGGCGGAAGCCUGACGGGGCAACGCCGCGGUAGUGGUGAAGGUCUUCGGAACGGAAAACUCUGUUAUUAGGGAAGAACAAAUUUGUAAGUAACUAUGCACGUCUUGGCGGGACCUAAUCAGAAAGCCACGGGUAACUACGGG